RNAcentral lists this ribosomal RNA (1144 nucleotides) under Agathobacter rectalis. RNAcentral's name for it is "partial 23S ribosomal RNA". It matches the Rfam family "Bacterial large subunit ribosomal RNA", at positions 1446 to 2610 of the family's 2925-position model. Lineage: Bacteria; Bacillati; Bacillota; Clostridia; Lachnospirales; Lachnospiraceae. The record is from RNAcentral.
ACGCAUUAUCAGAACUGUAGGGACGCAUGUGGAAAGCACGAGCCGGGAAUGGAAAGACCGGUACAAGCGAGGUAGGUGUACAAUAGGCAAAUCCGUUGUAUGAUCCGAAGACGUGAUGUGGAGCGAAAUAAAGUAGUGAAGCGUGUGAGCCAUGUGCCGAGAAAAGCUGCUAUUGUGUAAUGCGUGCCCGUACCGUAAACCGACACAGGUGGAUGAGGAGAGAAUCCUAAGGCCGACGGAAGAAGCAUUGUUAAGGAAUUCGGCAAAAUGACCCCGUAACUUAGGGAGAAGGGGUGCCUGCGAGAGCAGGCCGCAGAGAAUAGGCUCAAGCAACUGUUUAGCAAAAACACAGGUCUAUGCGAAACCGAAAGGUGAAGUAUAUGGGCUGACGCCUGCCCGGUGCUGGAAGGUUAAGAGGAGAGGUUAGCGAAAGCGAAGCUUUGAAUUUAAGCCCCAGUAAACGGCGGCCGUAACUAUAACGGUCCUAAGGUAGCGAAAUUCCUUGUCGGGUAAGUUCCGACCCGCACGAAAGGCGUAAUGAUUUGAGCACUGUCUCGACAAUGCAUCCGGUGAAAUUGAAGUACCAGUGAAGAUGCUGGUUACCCGCGCCAGGACGGAAAGACCCCAUGGAGCUUUACUCCAGUUUGAUACUGGGAUUCGGUACUGCAUGUACAGGAUAGGUGGGAGACGGAGAAGGAUGGACGCCAGUCUGUCCGGAGUCGCUGUUGGGAUACCACCCCUGUAGUACUGGGUUUCUAACCAGUUACCAUGAUCUGGUAAUGGGACAAUGUCAGGCGGGGAGUUUGACUGGGGCGGUCGCCUCCGAAAGGGUAUCGGAGGCGCUCAAAGGUUCCCUCAGAAUGGUUGGAAACCAUUUGAAGAGUGCAAAGGCAGAAGGGAGCUUGACUGCGACACCGACGGGUGGAGCAGGUACGAAAGUAGGACUUAGUGAUCCGGUGGUAUAAAGUGGGAUUGCCAUCGCUCAACGGAUAAAAGCUACCCUGGGGAUAACAGGCUUAUCACUCCCAAGAGUUCACAUCGACGGAGUGGUUUGGCACCUCGAUGUCGGCUCAUCGCAUCCUGGGGCUGUAGCAGGUCCCAAGGGUUGGGCUGUUCGCCCAUUAAAGCGGUACGCGAGCUGGGU